This 250-nucleotide ribosomal RNA is filed under the name uncultured bacterium. RNAcentral describes it as "partial 16S ribosomal RNA". It matches the Rfam family "Bacterial small subunit ribosomal RNA", at positions 524 to 773 of the family's 1533-position model. RNAcentral also lists the same sequence under 1 other name. The record is from RNAcentral.
UACGUAGGUGGCAAGCGUUGUCCGGAUUUACUGGGCGUAAAGGGAGCGUAGGCGGAUACUUAAGUGGGAUGUGAAAUACCUGGGCUUAACUUGGGUGCUGCAUUCCAAACUGGGUGUCUAGAGUGUUGGAGAGGAAAGUGGAAUUCCUAGUGUAGCGGUGAAAUGCGUAGAGAUUAGGAAGAACACCAGUGGCGAAGGCGACUUUCUGGACAAUAACUGACGCUGAGGCUCGAAAGCGUGGGGAGCAAAC